Molecule: long non-coding RNA, 2225 nt
Organism: Harpia harpyja (harpy eagle)
Lineage: Eukaryota; Metazoa; Chordata; Aves; Accipitriformes; Accipitridae
Exons: 10
Source: RefSeq, a predicted model, not a curated record
CCAAAGGAGCAGUCUCCCUGAUGUUUGGAAUGUAAAUGCAGCCAUGUCUCAGUAUCUGGACAAGAGGUGCUAUCAAGAUGAUGUUCUCCUUCAGUGGCAGAGAAGGGAGUUCUGAAUUGCUGGUGUGGUAGGUGCAAAGCUAUUACGUAGUAGCCUACAAAUUCAGACCAGUCAUUGGAAUACCAUAUGGAACCUGGAUGGAGUGGUAAAGCUGGCACUGGAGACUUCUCCCAGUGAAACCCCUCAGAAGACUGUCAUGCUGGAAAAUGUACAGCUCUGGGAGAGGGUAAGGAGAACCAGCUUCUCACCACAGUCCAGCACCUUGGAGGAGUUUGCAAGAGUCUAUCACAGCCGGAGCUUGUACUCUCAGCCUGAGGCUUUUCUAUGAGAAUUUCUUCUAAGAGAAAUGUUGUUUGAGUGUUUUGCAGAGAAGAAAGUGAGAAAACUGGACACAAACUCUCCCACCAGAGAAAUCAGCCCUCACUGUUGCUAGCGGUGCUGAACUAUGGUCAUGCAGUGGAAGAGUUAGGGAUCUCCCAAUAACUCAGUUUCUGAUAAAAGAGACUAACAUCCUACAGUCAGGACUGCCAACAUUACCAUGGAAACCCCCAAAAAUAAAGACUUUCCCAGCCUUGUGAGAGCACACCUGCAAGAGCAAGAAUUGCCUGUCAAAAGCGACUCUCCUUCAUUAUUGGUGUCACCUAAGGACAUUUUUUGUGGGCUGAAGCUUCCUGUUGUACACAGGAAAAAUUUUCACACAGAAGUAGUCCAGUGUUUAUGAGAAGAAACCUUCCCAGAAGUGCACAGGAGUGAUUUUCCCUGGAUGUUAGUGAUUCAUGUGAACUCCAGAUCACUUCAGUAAAACACAGUCUUACAAGGAAGGACAUGCAACAUCUCACAGAUCACAGCCUUACAAAGGAUCCAAAACCAGUCAGCAACUGCAUUUUCCUGUGCGUGUUCAGAAUGCAAACAGGGGCCAAAGUACACCUGAACAGCAUGCCUACCAAUUCAAGAGACUUCCUAUAUUUAAUGUGAACCAGACAGAAUCAAUACAUACUGAAAAAAUUGACUAGGAAACGGCAUUUUUUUUACUCUGUACUUUAAAAACAUAACCCUGGAGGCCAAAAUUACUGUCUUGACUAUUUAGCAAUUGAUGACAACAGAAUUACCGUUAGUGGGACACUGACUCCCAGUGUUUCCCAAGCACCUUCUGCAUGAACUGGAGGAACACCUUGUAUACACUGAGUAUGAAACAGAAGGUCCCUCAGUUCAUCAAUGCCACAGUGCCCAACAGGCACUGCUCUUUUGAGAAACAUUCCUAGACUCAGCAGUUUGUCUGAAUUUCAACCAAAUGAAGCCUCGCAAUUGCUAAAAUCCAGACGAAGGCCAACCAGACCUGGCCUGGCUCUGCUGCUGUUGCUCUGCACACUAAUGCAGACCCUGUGAACUCAACUGACUGAAUGAGCUGAAGAGUGAAGCACCCCAAAGGUCAGGGGAAUAAAAGCAGUUUCAAACCACCCCAUUAUGAGUCCGCCCUGGCAUCUGCAUGGGCUCCCAGUGCCAACGGUACGAUUUGUGAAAAACCUCAAGGCUCCUUGCUGGUGAUGGAGAACCUGAUGUCAAAUCUCUCCUCCUCACUGGCUCACCUGAACGUUCAGAGCAGGGAGGCGAGCGACGCAGCAGCUACUGCAGAGACUCUCGAUCAUCUGAAGGCUAGUUAAACUAAUUCAGGGAUACAAGCGGCUCGCAGCAGCCUAGCAUACCACUGAACCACACCCUUCAAGUUAUUUCCAGCAAUCUUAACAGCCACUGCAGUCCAAGACCAUCCUGGGGUUUCCAUCUGAAGUCCAGAUCCUGUAAGAAACGCUACUGCAGGAGUCAGGGCUGUGUUCUACGCUUUUCAGGAUUCUCUAUCCUUAGUCUAAAGUUCAGGUUCCUGCUGCCCAAACAAACCUGGAGAAAAUAUGUUGGUUUGAAAUCUUGGUAGACUUCAUUGAGUCAUGGAUGAGGCCCUUCAUGUCCAUAGAUGUCCAUCUUCAUUAAGAAAAUGGUUCAGAAUACUGCUGCUAAUUAUGUUAAACAUACCUUUGAACUACUCUUACACAAAAAUUUUGAUAAUUCAUAAUUCCCAAGUAAAUAAACACCUCUCAGAGUAGAUAGUAUUUAAUUUUCCAAGUUAUUCAUAUGAAGGAUCUAGCCUUGCACUUCAUAUCUAGCCUGUAUAU